CACUGUUCCAACACUUCCUUCCUGAGGGGCAGGGCUGAGCCACCAUGGGCAUGACCCUCCCAGCUCUCUGCUGUUCCCUUUCUGCUGCACUUCAGGUAACAACCAAUAUAAUCUCCUGCCUCGGACUGGUCCAAAUCCUCCUUGUGCUUUGCAAUCACGCCUUUCACAAAAUAUUGAAGUUUCUCCCAGUGCCUGAAGAUUUUCCUGAAAGGUCCUGGCAACCAUCUCAUGAUGAGAGGAAAAGCAUUAUAGAGCUGGAAAAGGCAGAUUACACCAGUGCCUUAGAAACCUCAGUUUCUGAGCUGUUCCGUGCAGCUGAAGCUGGAAAAACAUCCAAGUGACUUUACCUGGCCCCAGAAACUUCCGAUGAGCAGCAGCGUUUCAGCCAGGGAGUGCAGCAGUUCCUGGAAACGGUUGUCAUGGUAGUCAAAGCGGUUCCCAAAAGUUAUGGAACAGAUGAUGUUCGAAACGGCACUGUUGAUUUUGUAAUGAGGGUCAAAGGGCUGUCCUGGAGGAAAGAAAAGGAAAGGAAACUGCCUGAAGGGAGGUUUGGCCGGGUGGGAGUUGGUCUUGUCUCCCAAGGAACAAGAGAUAAGAGAAAUCAGCCACAAGUUGUGCCAGAGGAGAUUUUGACUGGAUGUGGGGGAAAAUGUCUUCAUUUGAAAGGAUGGCUUUGGAAGGGCUGCCCAGGGCAGUGGUGGAGUCACCAUUCCUGGAGUGUUUGAAAGGUGUGUGGAUGUGGCAUUUGGGCCAUGGUUUACUGGUGAACACGGCAGUGCUGGGUUAAUGUUUGGACUCAAUGAACUCAAGUAUC
Passer domesticus (house sparrow) is the source of this 814-nucleotide long non-coding RNA. RefSeq lists it as uncharacterized. Lineage: Eukaryota; Metazoa; Chordata; Aves; Passeriformes; Passeridae. The transcript has 3 exons. The record is from RefSeq and is a predicted model, not a curated record.